UAAGGCCUUCGGGGCAGGGUGCAAUUCCCGACCGGCGGUAGAGCCCGCGACCCCCUGCAACAGGGGUGGACCUGGUGAGAUUCCAGGGCCGACGGUAAGAGUCCGGAUGGGAGAAGGCCGCU
Regulatory RNA element from Thermobaculum terrenum ATCC BAA-798, 122 nucleotides. It matches the Rfam family "FMN riboswitch aptamer (RFN element)". Rfam says of the family: The RFN element is a highly conserved domain that is found frequently in the 5'-untranslated regions of prokaryotic mRNAs that encode for flavin mononucleotide (FMN) biosynthesis and transport proteins. This element is a metabolite-dependent riboswitch that directly binds FMN in the absence of proteins. The record is from Rfam. NCBI's taxonomy places the organism in Bacteria, Bacillati, Chloroflexota, Chloroflexia, Thermobaculales (SeqCode), Thermobaculaceae (SeqCode).